RNAcentral lists this ribosomal RNA (459 nucleotides) under uncultured bacterium. Its description in RNAcentral is "partial 16S ribosomal RNA". It matches the Rfam family "Bacterial small subunit ribosomal RNA", at positions 338 to 795 of the family's 1533-position model. The record is from RNAcentral.
CCUACGGGCGGCAGCAGUGAGGAAUAUUGGUCAAUGGCCGGAAGGCUGAACCAGCCAAGCCGCGUGAAGGACGACGGUGCCAAGCAUUGUAAACUUCUUUUGUCAAGGGACAAAAUCAGGCUCGAGAGCCUGACCGAGGGUACUUGAAGAAAAAGCAUCGGCUAACUCCGUGCCAGCAGCCGCGGUAAUACGGAGGAUGCGAGCGUUAUCCGGAUUUAUUGGGUUUAAGGGGGGCGUAGGCGGACUGUUAAGUCAGCGGUAAAAGCCCGGGGCUCAACCCGGGCGAGCCGUUGAAACUGGCUGUCUUGAGAGGGCGAGAGGUAGGCGGAAUGCGCAGUGUAGCGGUGAAAUGCUUAGAUAUGGCGCAGAACUCCGAUUGCGAAGGCAGCAUACCGGCGGCGAUCUGACGCUGAGGCACGAAAGCGUGGGGAGCGAACAGGAUUAGAUACCCGUGUAGUC